AGCGUAUUUUGCCCGGGCGGAGCCCGACCGCUGCUGGAAAAUCUGAGCGGUGAACACGGAGUCGGGCCAGUCUGUCAUGAGCUGGAUAUUGCUCCG
Non-coding RNA from Izhakiella sp., 96 nucleotides. NCBI's taxonomy places the organism in Bacteria, Pseudomonadati, Pseudomonadota, Gammaproteobacteria, Enterobacterales, Erwiniaceae. The record is from Rfam.